This 1290-nucleotide ribosomal RNA is filed under the name Heliconius melpomene melpomene. Its description in RNAcentral is "SSU rRNA". It matches the Rfam family "Eukaryotic small subunit ribosomal RNA", at positions 526 to 1766 of the family's 1831-position model. The record is from RNAcentral. Lineage: Eukaryota; Metazoa; Arthropoda; Insecta; Lepidoptera; Nymphalidae.
UAAAUAUUUUAACGAGGAACAAUUGGAGGGCAAGUCUGGUGCCAGCAGCCGCGGUAAUUCCAGCUCCAAUAGCGUAUACUAAAAUUGUUGCGGUUAAAAAGCUCGUAGUUGCAUUUGUGCGCCGCGCUGUCGGUGCACCGCAUCCGCGGUGAUACUGACACGUCUGCGGAGCAUAUCGUCGGUGAGCCGGCGGUAAAACGCCGGUUCAAUAUCAAAAUCCUAUCGCGGUUCUCUUCGGUGAGUGUCGAGAUGGGCCGACAAUUUUACUUUGAACAAAUUAGAGUGCUCAAAGCGGGCUCAAAAUGCCGCUUGAAUAUUUCGUGCAUGGAAUAAUAGAAUAUGAUCUCGGUUCUAUUUUGUUGGUUUUCAGAACUCCGAGGUAAUGAUUAAUAGGGAUAACUGGGGGCAUUCGUAUUGCGAGUUAGAGGUGAAAUUCUUGGAUCGUCGCAAGACGAACAUCAGCGAAAGCAUUUGCCAAAGGUGUUUUCAUCAAUCAAGAACGAAAGUAGAGGUUCGAAGGCGAUUAGAUACCGCCCUAGUUCUAACCGUAAAUAUGUCGUCUAGCGAUCCGCCGACGUUAAUACAAUGGCUCGGCGGGCAGCUUCCGGGAAACCAAAGAUUUUGGACUCCGGGGGGAGUAUGGUUGCAAAGCUGAAACUUAAAGGAAUUGACGGAAGGGCACCACCAGGAGUGGAGCCUGCGGCUUAAUUUGACUCAACACGGGAAAUCUCACCAGGCCCGGACACCGGAAGGAUUGACAGAUUAACAGCUCUUUCUUGAUUCGGUGGGUGGUGGUGCAUGGCCGUUCUUAGUUGUGGAGCGAUUUGUCUGGUUAAUUCCGGUAACGAACGAGACUCUAGCCUGCUAAAUAGGCGUCGUCAUUUAGGUGUGCGCGAUUUCGGUCGCGCAACUCACUGGCGACGUAUUAAAAUUCUUCUUAGAGGGACCGGCGUCUUCGAGCCGCACGAGAUUGAGCAAUAACAGGUCUGUGAUGCCCUUAGAUGUCCUGGGCCGCACGCGCGCUACACUGAAGGAAUCAGCAUGUUCUCCCUGGCCUAGAGGCCCGGGCAACCCGUUGAAACUCCUUCGUGCUGGGGAUUGGGGUUUGCAAUUAUCCCCCAUAAACGAGGAAUUCCUAGUAAGCGCGAGUCAUAAGCUCGCGUUGAUUACGUCCCUGCCCUUUGUACACACCGCCCGUCGCUACUACCGAUUGAAUGAUUUAGUGAGGUCUUCGGACCGACACGCGGUGGCUUCACGGCCGUCGGCGUUGCUGGGAAGUUGACCAAACUU